CUAAAUGGAAGAGCAUCUGUUUCAGUCUAUGAAACUCCAAGGUGGGUAAAGGUUAUUGCCUCACAAAACAGUGUUUAUGGUGCACUUGCUGCCUCCCGUGAGGAAAGCUGUCAGAUAAGAACAUGCUGUGCUUGUUGAUGCCUGUAUAGAGAAUUUCUGGAACGAGACCUAAGAUAAAUGAAUAGUAGGGGGCCUGUUGGAUGGCUCAAUGGGUAAAGGAGCUUGCUGCCAAGCACAGUGAUCUGAGUUCAAUCCCCAAGAUCCACUUGGUGAAAGAUUCCAAAGUCUUCCUGCCAUCAGGUACUGGGGCUAAUGGUGGGUGCCCUUUCUCGGCAGGUGAAGUCCAAGACAGUGGCUCAGUGCGUGGAGUACUACUACACUUGGAAGAAGAUAAUGCGGCUAGGGCGGAAACACCGGACACGCCUGGCAGAAAUCAUUGACGACUGCAUGGUGAGCGAUGUCACUCUGACCCCUCUGACCUCUCUGCUCUGCCUGCACUCUGUUCCCAGGCUAGUAAGUGGCUAGUGUGUUUUGGCUUUUCCAGGCAGCUGCUAGGAAAGGCGACAGAGUUCCCUGCGCACUUGUGAAACAUAGGACUUGACUCCCCGCUGUAGGCGGAAGGAAGGCAUUCCCUGGUUUGGGCUAAACCCUUCCUUUAGUAAAAGAUGAAAUGCGUUUCUAGGCAGGCAGGAGCUGGAGUUAAACCAGGCUGGUCUGUCCCACCGUUCACUUGGUUGGCUCAUAGGAGUGUGUUCUCUCCUGCUCUAAGAUCCUUCCUGAGCCUUCCACAUCACGGAUGCCAUUGGCCUGAGAA
Molecule: long non-coding RNA, 814 nt
Filed under: Rattus norvegicus (Norway rat)
Lineage: Eukaryota; Metazoa; Chordata; Mammalia; Rodentia; Muridae
Description: long non-coding RNA NONRATT029797
Source: RNAcentral